UGCCAUGGUUUCAGUAGGAAAUAAAGGCGAAGAAAAUUUUCACAACCUUGUCGAUCAACAAAAACAACACCGGUCACAUGACCUAAUAUACGCAAGGUUCUCCUUCGAUUUAUUUCAGAAUGAUUCCGUGAUUGUUCGAGAAUUCCUUGUACUGUACAUGUACUGUACCAAUGAGACUUAAAGCAGUUCGCUACGCUUGUGCGCAGCUGCGGGCCAAUUUCCGAGAGUGAGAGAUGCCUUUGCACACAACACUCAGCCAAUAAUUGAACGGAGUUUUUCUCACUUGGACAAAAAUGCCUUGAUUUCUUGACAGGGGGUGGAAACCAGUUUCAUUCGCCUAACUCUGACCCUUUUUCAAAGUGUUAUAUACAACAACCAUCAGGUACAAAAGUUAAAAGAGCGGCCUGCGAACACACCCAGAACAACAGACAAUUUGCCAUCGUUCCUUGACGGUCAUCCACCACAAGGAGGAAAAGCAGAAAAAGCAGAAGAAAGCGAAAGAAAAUCAAAAGGGACAGCUCAUUCCCCCAAAGGAAAGGAUCCGCGCAACUUUUUUUUCUUUUUUUUUUGUUUUUUGCGCGAUACCGCUAUCGAUGAGGAACUCAGGUAAUGUUUUGCAAAAAUAUUUUUUAUGUACGGGAAAGGACGUUACACAUAAGGAUACAGGCUUGAACUGAACUGAAAGGUUCCAAAUCUCCAUUCAUGUGCAUCCCACGUUCCUGAGACCAGACGAUGGAAACAUCAUCUCCAAGUUCCCAUUGUUUCUGUGCCUCUCGUAAUGGGGAGUUUUUUUGGAAAAAAAAAAAAAAAAAACCCCUCUCGCCGAAUCGCUUUUCACACGGAUAACAUCAAACUGAAUUCGC
Molecule: small RNA, 863 nt
Filed under: Histoplasma ohiense
Lineage: Eukaryota; Fungi; Ascomycota; Eurotiomycetes; Onygenales; Ajellomycetaceae
Description: hypothetical lncRNA
Source: RNAcentral